RNAcentral lists this transfer RNA (69 nucleotides) under Dipodomys ordii (Ord's kangaroo rat). It matches the Rfam family "tRNA". From Rfam's summary of the family: Transfer RNA (tRNA) molecules are approximately 80 nucleotides in length. Their secondary structure includes four short double-helical elements and three loops (D, anti-codon, and T loops). Lineage: Eukaryota; Metazoa; Chordata; Mammalia; Rodentia; Heteromyidae. The record is from Rfam by way of RNAcentral.
AUGGUGGCUUGGUGGUAGAGCACUUGCCUAGCAUGCAUGAAGCCCUGGGUUCAAUUCCUCGGUACCAUA